RNAcentral lists this ribosomal RNA (77 nucleotides) under Sceloporus gadsdeni (Lagoon spiny lizard). RNAcentral describes it as "partial 16S large subunit ribosomal RNA". Lineage: Eukaryota; Metazoa; Chordata; Lepidosauria; Squamata; Phrynosomatidae. The record is from RNAcentral.
UCAGCACAUCCUAAACACAAGGCUGAACACAACUAAAGCCAAACAACACGCACUUACAGCCCAGAGACAAUGGGCUU